AUUGAAGGCCUUCGGGUCGUAAACCACUGUCAUGAGGGAAGAAUACCCGGAUGGCGAAUCCGGGGGUGACGGUACCUCAAGAGGAAGCCCCGGCUAACUCCGUGC
This 105-nucleotide ribosomal RNA is filed under the name uncultured bacterium. RNAcentral's name for it is "partial 16S ribosomal RNA". It matches the Rfam family "Bacterial small subunit ribosomal RNA", at positions 407 to 508 of the family's 1533-position model. The record is from RNAcentral.